UACGUAGGUGGCAAGCGUUGUCCGGAUUUACUGGGUGUAAAGGGCGUGUAGCCGGGCUUACAAGUCAGAUGUGAAAUCCGGGGGCUCAACCCCCGAACUGCAUUUGAAACUGUAGGUCUUGAGUAUCGGAGAGGCAGGCGGAAUUCCUAGUGUAGCGGUGAAAUGCGUAGAUAUUAGGAGGGACACCAGUGGCGAAGGCGGCCUGCUGGACGACAACUGACGGUGAGGCGCGAAAGCGUGGGGAGCAAACAGG
RNAcentral lists this ribosomal RNA (253 nucleotides) under uncultured bacterium. Its description in RNAcentral is "partial 16S ribosomal RNA". It matches the Rfam family "Bacterial small subunit ribosomal RNA", at positions 524 to 776 of the family's 1533-position model. The record is from RNAcentral.